GGCUAACGCUGGCGGCGUGUCUUAGCCAUGCAAGUCGAGCGGACUUAUGGAGUAACUUAUAAGUCAGCGGCGGACGGCGGAGUAACACGUAGCUAACCUACCCUCUGGACGGGGAUAACCUACCGAAAGGUGGGCUAAUACCCGAUGUAGUCAUCCUGUAUAGGGGUGAUGAAAGGUGGGCUUCUGUUUACAAGCUCAUGCUGGAGGAGGGGGCUGCGGCCUAUCAGGUAGUUGGUAGGGUAAUAGCCUACCAAGCCGAUGACGGGUAGCCGGCCUGAGAGGGUGACCGGCCCGAGGGGCACUGAGAUACGGGUCCCACUCCUACGGGAGGCAGCAGGCUAGAAAUUUGGGCAAUGGGGGAAACCCUGACCCAGUGACGCCGCGUGCAGGAAGGAGCCCUUCGGGGUGUAAACUGCUGUCGUGUAGGGAGAAGGGUACUAAGGUGAACAAUCUUAGUACUUGACGGUACUACAGGAGGAAGCCCAGGCUAACCUCGUGCCAGCAGCCGCGGUAAGAUAGCGUA
RNAcentral lists this ribosomal RNA (523 nucleotides) under uncultured bacterium. RNAcentral describes it as "bacterial SSU rRNA". It matches the Rfam family "Bacterial small subunit ribosomal RNA", at positions 28 to 532 of the family's 1533-position model. The record is from RNAcentral.